AUCUCAGUGUGCUUCCAAGGGAUA
RNAcentral lists this non-coding RNA (24 nucleotides) under Arabidopsis thaliana (thale cress). The record is from RNAcentral. Lineage: Eukaryota; Viridiplantae; Streptophyta; Magnoliopsida; Brassicales; Brassicaceae.